ACACUAUCACCUACGCAUACCUCUGCUUCUUUUCAUUAACCUGCUAUCCUCUUUACAAAUGGGAUUCUUCACCCACUCCCUUCUUCUAGAUUAGCAAUGCCCUGUUAAGUAAACGAACACGAAAUUCAAAGGGAAACAGGAGCAAUCAUCAUUACCAGCUGCCGUGUUAAGCAUUGCGAAAACGCUCACGAUUCACAGAAAAAUCCAUGCUGUUCUUUGAAGGCAUUCAAGCCUUAAUAGCUAGCUGGAUGAAUGUUUAACUUCUAGGCCAGGCACUACUCUGUCCCAACAAUAAGCCCUGUACAUUGGGAAAGGUGCCGAGACAUGAACUUUGGUCUUCUCUGCAAUCCAUCUGGAGCAUUCACUGACAACAUCGACUUUGAAGUUGCACUGACCUGGCCAGCCCUGCCACUUACCAGGUUGGGCUCUUGAGUUUCUGCUUUCAAGUGACCCUCAGAAAUUCCUCCAUUCACUGCAGAGGUUCUGUUUCUCCUUGCUUUGUUCUGACUUUACGGCAGAACUAAGCUAAUGAGUUAGUUACUAUGGGUUAUCACUUGGAUUUGAAGAACCAUCAUUUCUAGGCAUUGCUGCUCAGAGUGGGUCUGCCCUCAGGGGAAGCUGUCUAACCAGAGCCUAACCCACUAGGGUUUUAUCAGAACCUAACUGACCUGAGGAAAAGAAAUACUCAACUCCAGCAAGCUCCAGCCUUCCAAAUGGAGGAGGAGAAAACCCAACUCCAGCCCACUUCAGCUAUCUUGUCCCACAUAAAGGGGAAGUGGAAGAAACCUGAGAAGCAGGCAUGAAGUUCACAGUCCAGAGGUACAGACACAUCAGAGUUCAGUAUCUGAUGAAUUAGAUGCAAAAACCUCAACAAA
This 875-nucleotide long non-coding RNA is filed under the name Homo sapiens (human). RNAcentral describes it as "cancer susceptibility 19". The record is from RNAcentral. Lineage: Eukaryota; Metazoa; Chordata; Mammalia; Primates; Hominidae.